Molecule: long non-coding RNA, 2193 nt
Filed under: Triticum aestivum (bread wheat)
Lineage: Eukaryota; Viridiplantae; Streptophyta; Magnoliopsida; Poales; Poaceae
Description: long non-coding RNA (TAES_LNC014768)
Source: RNAcentral
UGAAAGGUUCUUAACUCGGUACUCUAUUUGUAUCAUAUUGUCGUCCCUUUGUAGACCUGUGAUUACCCCCCGCCCCGCAAUAGACUGGUCACUUUGGACUGUGUAAAUAAAAAAGUGUCCUCAACCUCACUAUGCAAUGGAGAUGAUUGGUCCGUAUGGUUUGAUGUAAUUAGACGUAUAUAUUCCAAGGCCCUGAGAAGUAGCUUCUGUAAAUUCAGACUAAUAUUCAGAAAGUAAGAACUAAUCUAUGUAAGUUCCAUCCUAUUUAUGCAUGUUGGCGCCAAUGGUCAUCUGGGCCCUCAUUGAAUCUUGUGUUUCGAUAAAAAAAAGGGUACUAUAUUGCUGGGACUGUAUUUUCAUAUUUAAUACAACUUUUAAACUAAAUUAUUAUGUCUGUCAUUCUUAAAUAUUGAUGAUUCUAAGGUAAUGGGUUGCAAUUGGUAUGUAAAAUAUCAUUGAACCCCUAGGUUUCAUAAUAUAUUUGUGGGAGAUACUACUAUAUGCAAGGCAUGGGUCGGGAGUAUGAUACGCAAGACAUGACAGCAAGGUCUCUUAGAGAUCCUAAACCUCAGAUUUCGGGAGUCCCACUCCCAGCAGAGUUGCUAAAACUGUGUUCGCACACAAACACGCUACCAUGUGCCCCAGGGGUACACAUGACACGUGGCCAAAGGAGCCUCAACCAAUUGUUGAGUGAUAAAAUGACAUAUGGUUGCAGGAGCCUUGUCAGGAGCGUGAUAUGUAAAACACAUCGACAAGGUUUACUAGAGGCAUCCCUUUCAUAAGCAUAGCAUAGGUGGGCAAUUGACAGAAUUGCACAUAGUUAUGAUUAUGAUUCUUGAUGGCAUGACUCGUAUAGGCAUUAUGUUCGUGAUAAGUGGAUUGUUAAUCCAACUGCAUCUACUACUGUUACUUCACCCUAAACUACUAUCCAAUACGUAUCUCAAAUUAUUAAAUUCAUGACAAGAUUGCUUUCCAGCAUGCAUCUCAAAGUAUUAAAUUCAUGACAAACAGAUAAUGCUUUAAGUAAGAUGACAUAAUAUAGACAAUGUAAGACCAAGCAAUAUGUUCAAACCCCGUCGUUUCAUUUUUAGUAGCAACAAUACAAUGCGUGCCUUGCAACUCCUCCUAUCAUAGAGUAAAGGACACUAUAAGAUUGAGCCCAUUACUAUGCACCACUCUCUCUGAAGAUCUAAUCAUCUAAUUGGCCAAAGAAGACUCAUAGAUCGGAAAGCAUACAUAGCUAUUAAAUCACACAUAAUAGAUCUCAAAAAGCUUCAAAUAGUUUCAAUGAAUAAUCGGAUCAUAAACCCACAAGUCAUCGGAUCCCAACAUGGACACCGUGAGAAUUACAUCGAACAGUUCUCCAAAGAGAUCGGUGUAUUGAAGAUCAGAGAGAGAGAAAGAGAGGGAGAGAGAAAUAGAGAGAGAAAGAGAAAGAGAGAGAGAGAGAAAGCCAUCUAGCUACUACUAUGGACCCGUAGGUCCUGCUCACUCAUCAUCAUGGAGGCAGCAAGGUCGGUGAAGAUUGCCUCCCAAAUGGGUUCCCCCUCCGGCAGAGGAUCAAAAAAGGCCUCUAGAUAGGAUCGCGAAAGCAUAUAGGCUUGCGACGAUGAAAAAAUUGUUCCAAGUCUCGCUCUGUUUUUUUGAUUAUUUGUGAAUUUAUAGGCUUGGAAUUAAGGCAAAUGGAGCCACGGUGGGCCCACAAGCUCACAUGGCGCGCCCCCAGGAGUGCAUCGCCUGAGCUUGUGGCCCCCCUUGAUCAUUGUCUGGUGCCUCCCCGAAGCUUCUAGGGUCAUUCCUGGUCUAGAAAAAUUCUCCGUAAAGUUUCAUCGUGUUUGGAGUUCGUUUGGUACUCCCUCCAUUUUUAUAUACAAAAUCACAAACUCAGAUUACAGAUACUAAUGUAAAAUUUAAUGCUUGCGUUGCAAUUCAUCUUUUCUUUUUGUUUACUGGGUCAUCAAUACGUCGCGUGCAUGCAAACAAACUGAGUGGGGGAAGUAGUUGACUGUCGUUAUAACUGCAUGCGUGCAAGUAUUAAAUAGGUUUCUAGUACGAGAAAAUAUUAUUAAUUUUUCCUCGAUUACAGUUAGUUGCCUUUAUAGAUGCAAAAUGUAUAUUUCAUAGUGACCUUGUAUAAGUAAAUGGAGGAAGAAUGGUUUUUGUGCAAAAACAAAGAAAUAGACAAAAAAAAAA